RNAcentral lists this ribosomal RNA (492 nucleotides) under uncultured bacterium. RNAcentral's name for it is "partial 16S ribosomal RNA". It matches the Rfam family "Bacterial small subunit ribosomal RNA", at positions 29 to 507 of the family's 1533-position model. The record is from RNAcentral.
AGUGAACGCUGGCGGUAGGCCUAACACAUGCAAGUCGAACGGCAGCACAGUAAGAGCUUGCUCUUACGGGUGGCGAGUGGCGGACGGGUGAGGAAUACAUCGGAAUCUACUUUUUCGUGGGGGAUAACGUAGGGAAACUUACGCUAAUACCGCAUACGACCUACGGGUGAAAGCAGGGGAUCUUCGGACCUUGCGCGAUUGAAUGAGCCGAUGUCGGAUUAGCUAGGUGGCGGGGUAAAGGCCCACCAAGGCGACGAUCCGUAGCUGGUCUGAGAGGAUGAUCAGCCACACUGGAACUGAGACACGGUCCAGACUCCUUCGGGAGGCAGCAGUGGGGAAUAUUGGACAAUGGGCGCAAGCCUGAUCCAGCCAUACCGCGUGGGUGAAGAAGGCCUUCGGGUUGUAAAGCCCUUUUGUUGGGAAAGAAAAGCAGCAGGUUAAUACCCCGCUGUUCUGACGGUACCCAAAGAAUAAGCACCGGCUAACUUCGUG